This 478-nucleotide ribosomal RNA is filed under the name uncultured bacterium. RNAcentral's name for it is "partial 16S ribosomal RNA". It matches the Rfam family "Bacterial small subunit ribosomal RNA", at positions 28 to 523 of the family's 1533-position model. The record is from RNAcentral.
GACGAACGCUGGCGGCGUGCUUAACACAUGCAAGUCGAACGGUAAGGCCCUUCGGGGUACACGAGUGGCGAACGGGUGAGUAACACGUGGGUGAUCUGCCCUGCACUUCGGGAUAAGCCUGGGAAACUGGGUCUAAUACCGGAUAGGACCACUGCCUGCAUGGGUGGUGGUGGAAAGCUUUUGCGGUGUGGGAUGGGCCCGCGGCCUAUCAGCUUGUUGGUGGGGUGAUGGCUUACCAAGGCGACGACGGGUAGCCGGCCUGAGAGGGUGACCGGCCACACUGGGACUGAGAUACGUCCCAGACUCCUACGGGAGGCAGCAGUGGGGAAUAUUGCACAAUGGGCGCAAGCCUGAUGCAGCGACGCCGCGUGAGGGAUGACGGCCUUCGGGUUGUAAACCUCUUUCAGCACCGACGAAGCGCAAGUGACGGUAGGUGCAGAAGAAGGACCGGCCAACUACGUGCCAGCCGCCGCGGUAA